Long non-coding RNA from Raphanus sativus (radish), 652 nucleotides. RefSeq lists it as uncharacterized. The record is from RefSeq and is a predicted model, not a curated record. NCBI's taxonomy places the organism in Eukaryota, Viridiplantae, Streptophyta, Magnoliopsida, Brassicales, Brassicaceae. The transcript has 4 exons.
UAACGUUUAAGUUUAAUCGUCAUGUUCCAUCCCAAUUUGUCAUCUUCGGUUCAUCAUCAAUGGAGUUUUAGGAAGAUAUUCGAGAUGUAUAUUCCUGAUGAAUCUCUAGAUCGAACUUUUCUUUUCAUAAGUCUCCGGAUCGAGCUUCGUCUGAUCCAUCGCCUCUGAUACGUUACGAGAUUAAUUGGUUCAUCGCCAUUAAUAGCAUUCUUAAAUCCCUUGAUCCAUGAUUUCUCAUUCAAUACUUCUAUCUCCCUUCUAGGCGGUGAAACUUCACUUAUAAAAGGAACCAAAACAGAAUUGAUCUCCGUGAAGAAGCUUCAGCACUAUAUUCUCUACCGGAGAUGACAUUAAUACAUGAAGGCAAGCGUUUGAAUCACAAGCCAAGGACCCAAUAUCGAAUCACUCAUUCAAGUCACCUCUUCAUAUCUAAACAUACACUACAUCAGAGUCUUCAGUUGACAUCCUCUUCAAUUCAUCUUCACCGACUGCUACACCCGUAACAUUUAAUAUAUAUAGUUAGCUUUGGAAACAAUAAAUAUUGGUGUACAAAAUGAUAUUGGAAAAGUUGAAUGGCAACUUAUAGUUGGCUUUCGUAAAUUCACCAGUAUAUAUUAAUUGGUGGUGCAAAUGGGUUCAUAUUAUGGUCUUA